CAGCCCUUCGGGGAAAGUGAAGGAGUUCCAGGAAAGAGCUGAGAACAGCUAUGAGGAAGCAGAGGAUCUAAGUGUCGCGGUGACAAAAAUUUCAACCCCGGAUGUCUCCAAACGGACUGAAAGACCUGUCAAGAGAGAAAUGUCCCAAAAUCACAGAGAAAAGGUGUCCCUUUCCGUGUGAUGGGAGCCCAGUAGAGAACAGAUGACUAUGUGCUGAAAAGUGACAUGUUCAUGACUGCUCACAGAUGGGUGCUGCAAAGAUUGAAGAGGUUUCCAUUGGCAUGCUAAAGACAGACCUCACUACCCCACAUAGCCUGCAAGAGAUAGAAACAGGUAUGUAUUUUAAUGCAACUUGAUUCAAGCUAAAAGAGAAGAGAUUCACCAGGGACCCUCAGAAGAGUUGAACCCCCUGCCUGUUAGCCUGUUGUGGUGGAUCUCUAUAAAUGUGAAGAUGCUUGGAGGCCUCUGUUAUAUUAGUUACUCUAUCAGAAUACAUGAUACUUGAGUAUUUCAGGGCAAGAGAAAUGAACAAUUAAUUACAAGAGCCUAAGUCAUAGUUUUUGUUUGCUUGGU
Long non-coding RNA from Peromyscus leucopus (white-footed mouse), 573 nucleotides. RefSeq lists it as uncharacterized. The record is from RefSeq and is a predicted model, not a curated record. Lineage: Eukaryota; Metazoa; Chordata; Mammalia; Rodentia; Cricetidae. The transcript is spliced from 3 exons.